This is a small nuclear RNA of Zingiber officinale, 189 nucleotides long. RefSeq annotates it as U2 spliceosomal RNA. The transcript has a single exon. The record is from RefSeq and is a predicted model, not a curated record. NCBI's taxonomy places the organism in Eukaryota, Viridiplantae, Streptophyta, Magnoliopsida, Zingiberales, Zingiberaceae.
CCAAUUUAUGGGAGGCCUUUUGGCUAAGAUUAAGUGUAGUGUUAUUAUCAGUUUAAUAUCUUAUAUAAAGAAUUAAAUUAUUUUUUUAUGAAGGAGAGUUCGUUACUCGCACGCAUCCAUGUAUUAUAUUACAUACGCAACCAAGGGCAGAGCCACGUAUAACUUUGGUGGGGCAAUUGCCCACCUCAA